This 465-nucleotide ribosomal RNA is filed under the name uncultured bacterium. RNAcentral's name for it is "partial 16S ribosomal RNA". It matches the Rfam family "Bacterial small subunit ribosomal RNA", at positions 338 to 795 of the family's 1533-position model. The record is from RNAcentral.
CCUACGGGUGGCUGCAGUGGGGAAUAUUGCGCAAUGGGCGAAAGCCUGACGCAGCGACGCCGCGUGGGGGAUGAAGGUCUUCGGAUCGUAAACCUCUGUCAGUAGGGAAGAACGGUCACUGUGCUAAUCAGCAGUGAAUUGACGGUACCUGCAAAGGAAGCACCGGCUAACUCCGUGCCAGCAGCCGCGGUAAUACGGAGGGUGCGAGCGUUAAUCGGAAUUACUGGGCGUAAGGCGCACGUAGGCGGUAUGUUAAGUCAAGUGUGAAAGCCCCGGGCUCAACGUGGGAAUUGCAUUGGAAACUGGGAGACUGGAGUGUGUGAGAGGAGAGUGGAAUUCCAGGUGUAGGAGUGAAAUCCGUAGAGAUCUGGAGGAACAUCAGUGGCGAAGGCGACUAUCUGGCACAUAACUGACGCUGAGGUGCGAAAGCGUGGGUAGCAAACAGGAUUAGAUACCCUAGUAGUC